This 388-nucleotide ribosomal RNA is filed under the name Gammaproteobacteria bacterium. RNAcentral's name for it is "bacterial SSU rRNA". It matches the Rfam family "Bacterial small subunit ribosomal RNA", at positions 1 to 385 of the family's 1533-position model. Lineage: Bacteria; Pseudomonadati; Pseudomonadota; Gammaproteobacteria. The record is from RNAcentral.
UUAAAUUGAAGAGUUUGAUCAUGGCUCAGAUUGAACGCUGGCGGCAGGCCUAAUACAUGCAAGUCGAGCGGAAACGAUGGGAGCUUGCUCUCAGGCGUCGAGCGGCGGACGGGUGAGUAACGCGUAGGAAUCUACCCAGUAGCGGGGGAUAGCCCGAGGAAACUCGGAUUAAUACCGCAUACGCCCCACGGGGGAAAGGCCGGGAUCUUCGGACCGGUCACUAUUGGAGGAGCCUGCGUAGGAUUAGCUUGUUGGUGAGGUAAAGGCUCACCAAGGCUACGAUCCUUAGCUGGUCUGAGAGGACGAUCAGCCACACUGGAACUGAGACACGGUCCAGACUCCUACGGGAGGCAGCAGUAGGGAAUAUUGCGCAAUGGGCGAAAGCCUG